RNAcentral lists this transfer RNA (67 nucleotides) under Apis cerana (Asiatic honeybee). RNAcentral's name for it is "tRNA-Ala". The record is from RNAcentral. Lineage: Eukaryota; Metazoa; Arthropoda; Insecta; Hymenoptera; Apidae.
UGGAUAUUAGUUAACUAAUAACAUUUAAAUUGCAUUUAAAAAUUAAUAUAAAAUAUUAUUAUAUCUA